Long non-coding RNA from Gallus gallus (chicken), 1633 nucleotides. RefSeq lists it as uncharacterized. Lineage: Eukaryota; Metazoa; Chordata; Aves; Galliformes; Phasianidae. The transcript has 9 exons. The record is from RefSeq and is a predicted model, not a curated record.
AGCAUUCAGACAUUUUCUGCUAUACCAUUUCCUUGCAAGCAUGUUGGCGAACGCAAAAUAAAUGAGAACAGAAACAACGCCUAUGGUGAUAAUCUCUUUCUCAGGACUUCGUUGCUAUUGCAGAUGCUGCCUCCUGGCUUGGUUUCCAGUUCAGUUGCACACCCUGUAUGUCACUCUCCUGGGUGGAGAAGCCUCUUUUUAUGGUACUUGGACCAGCUGGUCUAACUGGCUCGGUUUGCCCGUGACUGCCAAUAUUUCCUCUGCAAAAUGAAAUAAGACAAGCAACACCCUUGCAACUUCCUACUGGCAACCAUGGUCACCAAACUCCUGCUAAUUGGGCAAUCCAAAAGCAGCACUCUCCAAGAAAUAAGAAGCCCGGUUUUCUGCAAAACCAGAAUUCUUGAUCUUUGCCAGGAGAAUAGAGUAUAACUCCUGUGUCGAGAACUUUCCCAGCCUGGAAAAUAGAAGAAAAUCAAACACAGAUUGAAAGUGGAAAGAGAAAAGAUGCAAGAAUAAAGGGAUGGCUCUUCAAGUGAGGACAACAGACACAGGAAAACAUAAGCCUAAAGUAUGGAUUUAUUUUCCAAACUGAAGUAAGACUUACUGGAGUAAGUCCAGAGGAGGGCCACAGUGAUUAUCAAAUGGCUGGAGUACCUCUUCCAUGAAGAGAGAGAGAGGUGGGAUCAUUCAGCCUGGAGAAAAGAAGGCUGCAAGAUGUUACAGUAGCCUUCCAGUACCUUAAGGGAGCCUACAGGAAAGGUAUUUAUGGACAUUGAUGGGAUCCCCCUGAGCCUCUUCUCCAGGAUGAGAAGUACCUCACCUCCUGCUUGCCUAUGGCUUCCUGCAAGUCUUCUAUCCACCAUGCGGGGGCCCUUCCCUGCUUUACUCUGGGGCUUACAGUUUGGUAGGAUGAAGAUGUGCCUGGAAGACACUGGCUGGAGCCACUUAAUGCUUUUGUGGCCUGUCCUCAGUCCGGUGAACACCACAGUGCUACCUGGAUAGUGAUAUGUGCUGUGUGAGACUACCAAGGGGGUGUUCUACCCAUAAGGGGCAGCCAGACUUGUGGACUCUGCCUUCCCUCAAGAGUUGAAGCUGCCCAAACAGCUAUUUCAGGGAAGAUGGACAUCUGGGUUUAAUUCAGCCUCUGUCUUGGACACAAGUAGUUCUCAAAGUCCUCCUCAUCUUGGAUUCUCACUAUCUAUGAAGAGUGCAGGGAGCUACAGAGGAAGUCUCAAAAACUUUCUGAGCUCCCACUACAAUAUUCUUGUUGGACAUUAGGAAGUACUUCUCAGAAAGAGUGGUGAGGCAGUGGCACAGGCUGCCCAGGGAGGUGGUGGAGUCACUGUCCCUGAAGUUAUUCAAGAAAUGUGGAGUUGUGGCAGUGAAAGACAUGGUUAGUGGAUAUGGUGGGGAUGGGUUGGGGUUGGACUGGAUGAUCUUAGAGGUAUUUUCCAACCCUAAUGAUUCUGUUAUUCUUUGACUUCAGAGGUUGCUUGAAAGCAAAAUUGGCUUUAAUCUUGUAUGUAGAUACCAUUAUGAUUUCAUUGUUCUAAUCUGACUGAUGACAUCAGUACAUCCAUAAAAACAGUUUGUAGCAGGAAAUCUGUCUGGAAUAAAUGUGGCUGCAAGAGUG